CAGACAGGCAACGAGUAGCGUCGCCAUGGCCUACUGAGUCAGUGAAGCGAGUUUUGAGAACCUUUUCGUCUAUUUCUCUGGAAAGGCAGCGACCAACUUCUCAAGCACCUGUAUCUGGUUUGUCUAUUGGAGUGUCAUCUAGCAGCGCCCCCCUCAACUCCAAUUGCUGCUGCUUCUGCUUCUGCUCCGGGUGCAGGUACACCUGGUUUAAUGCAAGGACCUGCCCAAGGUUAAUAUAUUUGGUACUGAUUGGGUAAUGGUCACAACAAGUGAUGGAAAAUAAUAUGACCACAACAACAAAACCAAGGCUGCGUUUCUCCUGCACUGCCCAGCAUGUUUCUCACAACAUUUUAGAACUUAAGCUCAUCAAUAUGUUGGAGGUAAUUUGUAGAAUAGCAGGAGUUUGCCACACUAUAUAGUUAGUUAGCAAGAUCUGGGAAGAAAUGAGGAAAAUAACAUCUCGAGCCUCAUAGGCUCAAGUUCGGAGGAAAAAUUGAGCCUCAAAGACUUGAGUUCUGAUUGCUGAGAUGGACAAGUUUUUGCCACAUGGAACUUGAGUCUUAAAGACUUGAGUUCCAAAGAAGAAGACGAACGAAGAUGGCGAUGAAGAUGAAGAACCAGAAAUGGGAAGAAGAAGUAGAACUGGGGAACUAGAAAUGGGAAGAAGAAGCAGAACAAGGGAAGAAGAAGCAGAAGUACCAGAUCCGAAAACCUCUCUGGAGAACGUAGAUCUGACGAAGAAGAAUCACGGGCUGGAGAACGCAGAUUCGAUAAAGAAGAAUCACGGGCUAGAGAACGCAGAUUCGACGAAGAAGAAUCACGGGCUGAAGGAAAGAAGAACAGGGGAAGAAGAAGCAGCACAGGAAAGUAAAUGGUGGAACUCGAGUCUUAAAAACUCGAGUUCCACGUGGAUUUUUUUCUACAUCCGCUCCCACCACUUACAACUCGAGUU
Long non-coding RNA from Quercus lobata, 952 nucleotides. RefSeq lists it as uncharacterized. The transcript has 4 exons. Lineage: Eukaryota; Viridiplantae; Streptophyta; Magnoliopsida; Fagales; Fagaceae. The record is from RefSeq and is a predicted model, not a curated record.